This 502-nucleotide ribosomal RNA is filed under the name uncultured bacterium. RNAcentral describes it as "bacterial SSU rRNA". It matches the Rfam family "Bacterial small subunit ribosomal RNA", at positions 26 to 523 of the family's 1533-position model. The record is from RNAcentral.
AGGAUGAACGCUGGCGGCGUGCCUAACACAUGCAAAGUCGAACGAAGCACUUAUCUUUGAUUCUUUCGGGGAUGAAGAGAUAUUUGACUGAGUGGCGGACGGGUGAGUAACGCGUGGGUAACCUGCCUCAGUACAGGGGGAUAACAGUUAGAAAUGACUGCUAAUACCGCAUAAGCGCACGGAGACGCAUGUCUUUGUGUGAAAAGCCGAGACGGUAUGAGAUGGACCCGCGUCUGAUUAGGUAGUUGGUGGGGUAACGGCCUACCAAGCCGACGAUCAGUAGCCGACCUGAGAGGGUGACCGGCCACAUUGGGACUGAGACACGGCCCAAACUCCUACGGGAGGCAGCAGUGGGGAAUAUUGCACAAUGGGGGAAACCCUGAUGCAGCGACGCCGCGUGAGUGAAGAAGUAUUUCGGUAUGUAAAGCUCUAUCAGCAGGGAAGAAAAUGACGGUACCUGACUAAGAAGCCCCGGCUAACUACGUGCCAGCAGCCGCGGUAA